UAACCACUCCCCUUGAUAAAUAACAACCCCCUUCUCCACAACUCUCUCGUUUACCACUGAGCUUCAUUUUUACAGCAAAAGCCCUAGCAUCCCCUCUCAUCUCUUCAUCAAACUAUGGCAGAAGAAUAUGCUCUCGGUGCCUAUGGUACCAGUUACUCAAAGUCCAUGACUAAAAGCAGUGGAAAUCAGGUGAAUGUGUAUCAACAGACAUACCGUGCUAAGAAUGAGGACAAACAGACUGGAAGCUAUGAGCGCUUCACUGCUAAGGAUAAGACUGUGUGCGGUGAACCGUUUGUGGACAGGUCUGGGAAUCAUGGUUACAAGAGCGAGAACACCACAUCUGCUACCUACAAAGUUGGUGACAAAAGCGGCUAUACUGAGUACUACCGCGAGGACAGGGUGAAGCAUGUUGACUUUGAUAAGAGCAGCAACAGCAACAACAAAAGUGUUGGGUACUACUCCAAAUACAACAAGUAUUAGGUGUUGGCAUCAUCCCCCUUUGGCAUGUAUCCUGGGGGUUAUGAAAUGUUUUCUAUCUGGAUUUCUAGCCUAAUGAAUCUACUGCUAGCAACUACUUAUCUAGCUUUUUGUUGAUGGUACUCUUGUUGGUUUAAAUUUGUGGAGCAGAGAUUUUAACUGUGAUCUUACUAUUGUUUCAGUUUGAAUUUGGCUAAAUCAUUUCUUGGUA
This is a long non-coding RNA of Daucus carota subsp. sativus, 688 nucleotides long. RefSeq lists it as uncharacterized. NCBI's taxonomy places the organism in Eukaryota, Viridiplantae, Streptophyta, Magnoliopsida, Apiales, Apiaceae. The transcript has 2 exons. The record is from RefSeq and is a predicted model, not a curated record.